RNAcentral lists this long non-coding RNA (396 nucleotides) under Felis catus (domestic cat). RNAcentral describes it as "lncRNA (ENSFCAG00000046955.1)". The record is from RNAcentral. Lineage: Eukaryota; Metazoa; Chordata; Mammalia; Carnivora; Felidae.
UGCUCAGAAAACUUCAGGCUCAGGGUCUCCAUCCUUGAUUUUCACAGCAUCAACAAAAGCUGAUGGCAAGGUUAAACGUUGAGGUGAUGAAAAAGUAAAUUUCUGCACUUUCACCAAUACUGUAAAUGUUUUUAUUUUUUUCUAUAGAAGAAAGAAGACCAACACUAAUGCUUCAAGUCCAGCCACAAAGAUUUUCAAAGACAGAAGAGUAAGGGUACAACAGUCAGCAUCAGGUUGUUAUCAAAUGACAGAUUUGAGUAUCAUCAGUGGAGGAACUUCAACCCUUGCGAAAGAGAACAUCACAAUUAACACCUGUCUCCAUCUAAGCCUUGAAGCAGCACAAAAAUGGCUAUUCACAACCUACUCGGGAACUCUCCAAGACAUUGUUUAUGAAUG